This 301-nucleotide ribosomal RNA is filed under the name uncultured bacterium. Its description in RNAcentral is "partial 16S ribosomal RNA". It matches the Rfam family "Bacterial small subunit ribosomal RNA", at positions 509 to 809 of the family's 1533-position model. The record is from RNAcentral.
CAGCAGCCACGGUAAUACGAAGGGUGCAAGCGUUAAUCGGAAUUACUGGGCGUAAAGCGUGCGUAGGCGGUGAGUUAAGUCUGCUGUGAAAUCCCCGGGCUCAACAUGGGAAUGGCAGUGGAUACUGGCUCGCUAGAGUGUGUCAGAGGAUGGUGGAAUUCCCGGUGUAGCGGUGAAAUGCGUAGAGAUCGGGAGGAACAUCAGUGGCGAAGGCGGCCAUCUGGGACAACACUGACGCUGAGGCACGAAAGCGUGGGGAGCAAACAGGAUUAGAUACCCCGGUAGUCCCUGUCUCUUAUAA